CAGCAGCCGCGGGAAUACGGAGGGUGCAAGCGUUAAUCGGAAUUACUGGGCGUAAAGCGCACGCAGGCGGUCUGACAAGUCAGAUGUGAAAUCCCCGGGCUUAACCUGGGAACUGCAUUUGAAACUGUCAGGCUGGAGUCUUGUAGAGGGGGGUAGAAUUCCAGGUGUAGCGGUGAAAUGCGUAGAGAUCUGGAGGAAUACCGGUGGCGAAGGCGGCCCCCUGGACAAAGACUGACGCUCAGGUGCGAAAGCGUGGGGAGCAAACAGGAUUAGAGACCCCUGUAGUCCCUGUCUCUUAUAC
This 301-nucleotide ribosomal RNA is filed under the name uncultured bacterium. Its description in RNAcentral is "partial 16S ribosomal RNA". It matches the Rfam family "Bacterial small subunit ribosomal RNA", at positions 509 to 807 of the family's 1533-position model. The record is from RNAcentral.